Molecule: ribosomal RNA, 253 nt
Filed under: uncultured bacterium
Lineage: Bacteria
Description: partial 16S ribosomal RNA
Rfam family: Bacterial small subunit ribosomal RNA
Source: RNAcentral
UACGAAGGGGGCUAGCGUUGCUCGGAAUCACUGGGCGUAAAGGGUGCGUAGGCGGGUCUUUAAGUCAGGGGUGAAAUCCUGGAGCUCAACUCCAGAACUGCCUUUGAUACUGAGGAUCUUGAGUUCGGGAGAGGUGAGUGGAACUGCGAGUGUAGAGGUGAAAUUCGUAGAUAUUCGCAAGAACACCAGUGGCGAAGGCGGCUCACUGGCCCGAUACUGACGCUGAGGCACGAAAGCGUGGGUAGCAAACGGG